RNAcentral lists this ribosomal RNA (853 nucleotides) under Escherichia coli. RNAcentral's name for it is "partial 23S ribosomal RNA". It matches the Rfam family "Bacterial large subunit ribosomal RNA", at positions 344 to 1201 of the family's 2925-position model. Lineage: Bacteria; Pseudomonadati; Pseudomonadota; Gammaproteobacteria; Enterobacterales; Enterobacteriaceae. The record is from RNAcentral.
GGAAAGGCGCGCGAUACAGGGUGACAGCCCCGUACACAAAAAUGCACAUGCUGUGAGCUCGAUGAGUAGGGCGGGACACGUGGUAUCCUGUCUGAAUAUGGGGGGACCAUCCUCCAAGGCUAAAUACUCCUGACUGACCGAUAGUGAACCAGUACCGUGAGGGAAAGGCGAAAAGAACCCCGGCGAGGGGAGUGAAAAAGAACCUGAAACCGUGUACGUACAAGCAGUGGGAGCACGCUUAGGCGUGUGACUGCGUACCUUUUGUAUAAUGGGUCAGCGACUUAUAUUCUGUAGCAAGGUUAACCGAAUAGGGGAGCCGAAGGGAAACCGAGUCUUAACUGGGCGUUAAGUUGCAGGGUAUAGACCCGAAACCCGGUGAUCUAGCCAUGGGCAGGUUGAAGGUUGGGUAACACUAACUGGAGGACCGAACCGACUAAUGUUGAAAAAUUAGCGGAUGACUUGUGGCUGGGGGUGAAAGGCCAAUCAAACCGGGAGAUAGCUGGUUCUCCCCGAAAGCUAUUUAGGUAGCGCCUCGUGAAUUCAUCUCCGGGGGUAGAGCACUGUUUCGGCAAGGGGGUCAUCCCGACUUACCAACCCGAUGCAAACUGCGAAUACCGGAGAAUGUUAUCACGGGAGACACACGGCGGGUGCUAACGUCCGUCGUGAAGAGGGAAACAACCCAGACCGCCAGCUAAGGUCCCAAAGUCAUGGUUAAGUGGGAAACGAUGUGGGAAGGCCCAGACAGCCAGGAUGUUGGCUUAGAAGCAGCCAUCAUUUAAAGAAAGCGUAAUAGCUCACUGGUCGAGUCGGCCUGCGCGGAAGAUGUAACGGGGCUAAACCAUGCACCGAAGCU